This 692-nucleotide ribosomal RNA is filed under the name uncultured bacterium. Its description in RNAcentral is "bacterial SSU rRNA". It matches the Rfam family "Bacterial small subunit ribosomal RNA", at positions 8 to 705 of the family's 1533-position model. The record is from RNAcentral.
AGAGUUUGAUCCUGGCUCAGGACGAACGCUGGCGGCGUGCCUAACACAUGCAAGUCGAACGGGACCGGGGGCAACUCCGGUUCAGUGGCGGACGGGUGCGUAACACGUGAGGAACAUGACUUUCGGCGGGGGAUAGCCGGCCCAACGGCCGGGUAAUACCGCGUACGACCCAAUGGAGACAUCUCCGCUGGGUGAAAGCAGCAAUGCACCGAAAGAGUGCCUCGCGGCCUAUCAGCUAGUUGGUGGGGUAAUGGCUCACCAAGGCGACGACGGGUAGCUGGUCUGAGAGGAUGGCCAGCCACAUUGGGACUGAGACACGGCCCAGACUCCUACGGGAGGCAGCAGUGGGGAAUAUUGCGCAAUGGGCGAAAGCCUGACGCAGCGACGCCGCGUGUGGGAUGACGGCCUUCGGGUUGUAAACCACUGUCGGGGGGGACGAAUGCGCCGCAAGGCGAGUGACGGUACCUCCAAAGGAAGCACCGGCUAACUCCGUGCCAGCAGCCGCGGUAAUACGGAGGGUGCGAGCGUUGUCCGGAAUCACUGGGCGUAAAGGGCGCGUAGGCGGCCUGAUAAGUAGGGGGUGAAAUCCUGCGGCUUAACCGCAGGGCUGCCUUCUAAACUGUCAGGCUAGAGCACGGUAGAGGCAGAUGGAAUUCCCGGUGUAGCGGUGGAAUGCGUANAGAUCGGGAAGA